CCUACGGGAGGCAGCAGUGGGGAAUAUUGCACAAUGGGGGAAACCCUGAUGCAGCGACGCCGCGUGAGUGAAGAAGUAAUUCGUUAUGUAAAGCUCUAUCAGCAGGGAAGAAAAUGACGGUACCUGAGUAAGAAGCCCCGGCUAACUACGUGCCAGCAGCCGCGGUAAUACGUAGGGGGCAAGCGUUAUCCGGAUUUACUGGGUGGAAAGGGAGCGUAGACGGCAGUGCAAGUCUGGAGUGAAGGGCGGGGGCUCAACCCCCGGACUGCUCUGGAAACUGUACGGCUGGAGUGCAGGAGAGGUAAGUGGAAUUCCUAGUGUAGCGGUGAAAUGCGUAGAUAUUAGGAGGAACACCAGUGGCGAAGGCGGCUUACUGGACUGUAACUGACGUUGAGGCUCGAAAGCGUGGGGAGCAAACAGGAUUAGAUACCCUUGUAGUC
RNAcentral lists this ribosomal RNA (440 nucleotides) under uncultured bacterium. RNAcentral's name for it is "partial 16S ribosomal RNA". It matches the Rfam family "Bacterial small subunit ribosomal RNA", at positions 338 to 795 of the family's 1533-position model. The record is from RNAcentral.